UGGGGAAUAUUGGACAAUGGGGGGAACCCUGAUCCAGCGACGCCGCGUGAGUGAAGAAGUAUUUCGGUAUGUAAAGCUCUAUCAGCAGGGAAGAAAAUGACGGUACCUGAGUAAGAAGCCCCGGCUAACUACGUGCC
RNAcentral lists this ribosomal RNA (137 nucleotides) under uncultured bacterium. RNAcentral describes it as "partial 16S ribosomal RNA". It matches the Rfam family "Bacterial small subunit ribosomal RNA", at positions 355 to 509 of the family's 1533-position model. The record is from RNAcentral.